This 458-nucleotide ribosomal RNA is filed under the name uncultured bacterium. Its description in RNAcentral is "partial 16S ribosomal RNA". It matches the Rfam family "Bacterial small subunit ribosomal RNA", at positions 338 to 795 of the family's 1533-position model. The record is from RNAcentral.
CCUACGGGUGGCAGCAGUGGGGAAUAUUGCACAAUGGGCGCAAGCCUGAUGCAGCGACGCCGCGUGCGGGAUGGAGGCCUUCGGGUUGUAAACCGCUUUUGUUCAAGGGCAAGGCACGGUCUUUGGCCGUGUUGAGUGGAUUGUUCGAAUAAGCACCGGCUAACUACGUGCCAGCAGCCGCGGUAAUACGUAGGGUGCAAGCGUUAUCCGGAUUUAUUGGGCGUAAAGCGCUCGUAGGCGGUAUGUCAAGUCAAGGGUGAAAUCCCCGCGCUCAACGUGGGAACUGCCUUUGAAACUGGCAAACUGGAGUGUGUGAGAGGAUAGUGGAAUUCCAGGUGUAGGAGUGAAAUCCGUAGAUAUCUGGAGGAACAUCAGUGGCGAAGGCGACUAUCUGGCACAUAACUGACGCUGAGGAGCGAAAGCGUGGGUAGCAAACAGGAUUAGAUACCCUUGUAGUC